This 94-nucleotide transfer RNA is filed under the name Mycolicibacterium celeriflavum. RNAcentral's name for it is "tRNA-Arg". Lineage: Bacteria; Bacillati; Actinomycetota; Actinomycetes; Mycobacteriales; Mycobacteriaceae. The record is from RNAcentral.
GGCAACGUGUGGGCCAGCGGCGCGGCCACGGCCGCCUUCGACGCGUUCGGAGACCAUGUGCCGGCCGAGACGUUCGACGACGUGCACACCGCUG